Canis lupus familiaris (dog) is the source of this 2850-nucleotide long non-coding RNA. RefSeq lists it as uncharacterized. Lineage: Eukaryota; Metazoa; Chordata; Mammalia; Carnivora; Canidae. The record is from RefSeq and is a predicted model, not a curated record. The transcript is spliced from 3 exons.
UUCUCUCUCUCCCUCUGCCCUACCCUCUGCUUGCACAGGCAUGAGCUCUCUCUCUAUCUCUCUGUCUCUCAAAUAAAUCAAUUUUUUUUAGAAAAGGAAGAAAGGAAAAAGAAUACUUGGGGCAUAGAGCACUAUCAUGAGCUUGGAAGCCUAUGUUUUAUGAUCCUUGAGCAUCAAACUGUGUGGCCUUGAAUAAAUCUUACAUCCUUCCUGGACCUUGGUUUCCUAACCUGUUAAAUGAGAAGAUUGAACUAGAAUGUCCUCUAGGUUUCCUCUGAAUCUAAAAAAGUUGACAUCAGUGUACCUAUGAGAAUGGUUGGGAGAAAGACUCCUUAAUGUCACAGGGGCCUGUUCUGAAGCUAAAUGGCUGCCCGGAGACUGAAAACUUCUAGGCAUAUCCUGUCUUACAGCAGAUGUGGCGUCUGAGCCAAGGACCGUGUAGUAUUACAGUGUCCGUGAGUCCUACUCAAAAGUAAUGUGCAUUGUGGACUAAACCUCUGAGGAAUUUUGACCAUUUUCUGACCUUCCAGUUAAUAAGUAAAUAAUACUGUUUCUUCCUCUGAACUUCUCACAGCUCUUCUUCCAUAAACACGGUAUGACCCUUCUUUAUUUAUCAAUUUAAUUGAUUCUAGGUUUAUUUUCUUACUGAUCUUAAAAUCCUUCCCUUAAAUGUGUCACAUCUAUUGUCUUUUAGGCCUUAAAAAUUCCACAACAGUCUUCUAAAUAAAGUUAAAGGUGUUGACUACAGGCUUCAGCAUUUUCUCCCAGAAGGCUCUGUCCUCAUGGCCUUUCAUUAUCUACCAUUUCUGUGCUGAUUCACAGUCCAUGAUUCUACCAGAGGAUGUUUCAGGUUUUCUACUGCAUCCUCCACACUCAGAAGAAACCAGCUAAGCACUUCCCCAGUCACUAAAGACUUGGAAGCAGAGCUGAAGGUGACAGCCAAAGUGUUCUCCAUGGCCAGAAAAUGCAGACAAAAAGCUGCUUUUUCAUCUCCUUUGGACUACUGGGACAUAGGAGCUUUCUCUUCUUUACCAGCUCAUCCCACCUCCUUCUAUCUCCACUACGGCCUCUAGUUCACGACACCAUCGUGCCCUGAUCCUGAGGGAGGCUGCCCUACUUCUCCCACCAGCUGCCCUACUUCUACUUCUCCAGCAUCCUGUCAUGGCUCAGCAACCAGAAUUUAUCUAUUUGAUGCUUUGUGGGAGUUGGGUGAUCUGAAUGCCAUACGUGAUGGGUGCGGAAAGCCUUUCAGAAAUAGCUCCCCUGCAGCCAACUAUCGAUGCUCCAUAGUCCUUGCCUUUCCAGGUCCAACGCCAUAGCCAUGGGCUUUCCAGUUCUGGGGACAGUCCUGACCCAGGCAGGCAACAUAUCCAGAGUUGAUUUGGGGGGUGUCUGGCUGGCUCACUGUGUAGAGCAUGUGACCCUUGGUCUUGGGGUCCUGAGUUCAAGCCCCACAUUGGGAGUAGAGAUUACUUAAAAAAAAGAAAAAAAAAGGUGGUCAAUAGAUGUUAAAAAUAAAAUAAAAUAGAGCUUAUUUUUAUCCACAGGUGGUGUCUGGGCUUAAUUUUAUUAUCAGCCUUACACUUCUGUCACUCUCACACUUCCAGAGUGAACUCUGGUGCCCUAGUAUGUGUCCUUUAAGCAAGCAGCCCUUUUCCCAAUCACUCACUAUGCUUCCCUAGGACGUAUGGGCCUAAACUUUUGCUGUAGUAUAUGCUUUAGACACCAAGAUCCUCUGCCAGAAGUAGAAUCUUUCCUUACUAUGAAUUUAUUGGAUUGGGAUACUCAAAAUAUGCUUAAGUUUUGUCAUUUUUUCUUUUAUUUUUUCUCUUUUUUUAGAGAAAGAGAGAGAGAGGGAACACUUGAGUGGGGGAGAGGGGCAGAAGGAGGGGGAGAGAGAGAACCUUAAGCAGUGUCCGCAUCCAGAGCGAGGCCGACACAGGGCUCUAUCUCAUGACUCUGAGAUCAUGACCUGAGCCAAAAUCAAGAGUCAGACUCUUAACCGACUGGGCUACCCGGGUAUCCUGCCAUUUUUUUUUUUUUCAAGAGAUUGGACUGGGCCUCCAUCCCCUAUAGCUUAUCUGGGGUCCUGCUGGAGGCUAGAUGGAUCCACAACACCACCUCUCAUGGUGGUCAGACUCCUGCUGACAUGCCUGAGCUGCCAGAUUAGAACUCCUUGGAUAUUGUGGGGGUGGAGAUGCUUAUGUCCCCCCAAUUCUGACACAUAUGAUUGACCAAGUUCCAUGUAGCAGAUUUUGCUUAUUUUGCUACAAAAGCAAGGAAUAGAUCUAUUCCCUCUCUUAGACCUGUCAGGCCAAAAGCACUCCUCAUGAUAUACCGAUAUGGACAGGGUCUGUCCCUCUAUCCCUGACCACAACAGGACUCCAGUUUUCCUAGGCUAAGUCAUGAGAGUAGGGCAAGAAUUUAAACGGAGGCCCACAUACCAUAUGUCUACAUAUGCAUGGGUUAUAAAUCAAGCAGAAAAACUGUUUAAUAAAACCUAUUUUAUCCUUCUGCCUUGAAAAAUAUCCCUUCAGAGUGAUAAAAAUGAAUUAUGUGUAAAGCUGUUUUUUAAUAUAACUAAAAACAGGCAAAAUCUUAAAGAUGAGUGAAUUUAAUUUUUGCACAUCUGUGUGUUCUCUUGUGAAUAUAAAAUAAAGGCAAUCAUAAUGCAUACAUUUUUGUAUAUUUAUUUCCCUGGUGUUUGUUUCAGCAAAUCACUAAUUAUGCCAUUAUAAUCAAGAUUUUCACAAAGCUUGUGAAAAUAGUGCCUAUGAUCUAAAAGAUUAAAAAAUGAAAUGUAACUACAUUAAAAAUAUACGAAAUUUGAGUGUCUCUAAAAAUUAUAAA